RNAcentral lists this ribosomal RNA (254 nucleotides) under uncultured bacterium. RNAcentral's name for it is "partial 16S ribosomal RNA". It matches the Rfam family "Bacterial small subunit ribosomal RNA", at positions 524 to 776 of the family's 1533-position model. The record is from RNAcentral.
UACAGGGGGGGGCAAGCGUUGUUCGGAAUUACUGGGCGUAAAGGGCUCGUAGGUGGCCAACUAAGUCAGACGUGAAACCCCUCAGCUUAACUGGGGAACUGCGUCUGAUACUGGAUGGCUUGAGUUUGGGAGAGGGACGCGGAAUUCCAGGUGUAGCGGUGAAAUGCGUAGAUAUCUGGAGGAACACCGGUGGCGAAGGCGGCGUCCUGGACCAACACUGACACUGAUGAGCGAAAGCCAGGGGAGCAAACGGG